GAUUGGUGCUUGCAUCAUGAUUUACAUUUGAGUGAGUGGCGAACUGGUGAGUAACACGUGGGAAACCUGCCCAGAAGCGGGGGAUAACACCUGGAAACAGAUGCUAAUACCGCAUAACAACUUGGACCGCAUGGUCCGAGUUUGAAAGAUGGCUUCGGCUAUCACUUUUGGAUGGUCCCGCGGCGUAUUAGCUAGAUGGUGGGGUAACGGCUCACCAUGGCAAUGAUACGUAGCCGACCUGAGAGGGUAAUCGGCCACAUUGGGACUGAGACACGGCCCAAACUCCUACGGGAGGCAGCAGUAGGGAAUCUUCCACAAUGGACGAAAGUCUGAUGGAGCAACGCCGCGUGAGUGAAGAAGGGUUUCGGCUCGUAAAACUCUGUUGUUAAAGAAGAACAUAUCUGAGAGUAACUGUUCAGGUAUUGACGGUAUUUAACCAGAAAGCCACGGCUAACUACGUGCCAGCAGCCGCGGUAAUACGUAGGUGGCAAGCGUUGUCCGGAUUUAUUGGGCGUAAAGCGAGCGCAGGCGGUUUUUUAAGUCUGAUGUGAAAGCCUUCGGCUCAACCGAAGAAGUGCAUCGGAAACUGGGAAACUUGAGUGCAGAAGAGGACAGUGGAACUCCAUGUGUAGCGGUGAAAAUGCGUAGAU
Molecule: ribosomal RNA, 650 nt
Filed under: Lactiplantibacillus plantarum
Lineage: Bacteria; Bacillati; Bacillota; Bacilli; Lactobacillales; Lactobacillaceae
Description: bacterial SSU rRNA
Rfam family: Bacterial small subunit ribosomal RNA
Source: RNAcentral